GAUGAACGCUGGCGGCGUGCCUAAUACAUGCAAGUCGAGCGAACGGACGAGAAGCUUGCUUUUCUGAUGUUAGCGGCGGACGGGUGAGUAACACGUGGAUAACCUACCUAUAAGACUGGGAUAACUUCGGGAAACCGGAGCUAAUACCGGAUAAUAUUUUGAACCGCAUGGUUCAAAAGUGAAAGACGGUCUUGCUGUCACUUAUAGAUGGAUCCGCGCUGCAUUAGCUAGUUGGUAAGGUAACGGCUUACCAAGGCAACGAUGCAUAGCCGACCUGAGAGGGCGCGCGGCCAACCAGGAAAGGAGACCGGGCCCAGCCUCCUACGGGAGGAACAGGGAGGAAUCCUCCCGAAAGGGGCGAAAGCCUGACGGACAAACGCCGCGGGAGGGAUAAAGGUUUUAGUAUCUUAAAACUCUUUUAUGAGGGAAAAACAUAUGUGAAAGUAACUGUGCACAUCUUGAGGUACCCUAAUAAGAAGACCACGGCAAACUCCGUC
Molecule: ribosomal RNA, 497 nt
Filed under: uncultured bacterium
Lineage: Bacteria
Description: partial 16S ribosomal RNA
Rfam family: Bacterial small subunit ribosomal RNA
Source: RNAcentral